This is a long non-coding RNA of Zonotrichia albicollis (white-throated sparrow), 1819 nucleotides long. NCBI's taxonomy places the organism in Eukaryota, Metazoa, Chordata, Aves, Passeriformes, Passerellidae. The record is from Ensembl.
GGGAGAAAUGACCCAAAACACCGCCCCGAAAAUGGGAGAGAAACCAACCCCAAAACCGGGGAGAAACAACCCAAAACACCGCCCCGAAAAUGGGAGAGAAACCAACCCCAAAACCGAGGAGAAAUGACCCAAAACACCGCCCCGAAAAUGGGAGAGAAAUACCCCAAAAUUGGGAGAGAAACCACCCCAAAACCACCCCAAAAUUGGGAGAGAAACCACCCCAAAACCGGGGAGAAAUAACCCAAAACACCGCCCCGAAAAUGGGAGAGAAACAGCCCAAAAUAUCCCCAAAAUAUGGCAGAGAAAUGCCCCAAAAUUGGGAGAGAAAUGCCCCAAAAUUGGGAGAGAAAUGCCCCAAAAUUGGGAGAGAAACCACCCCCAAAACCGGGGAGAAAUAACCCAAAACACCGCCCCGAAAAUGGCAGAGAAAUACCCCAAAACCACCCCCAAAACCGGAGAGAAAUGACCCAAAACACCGCCCCGAAAAUGGGAGAGAAACGGCCCGAAAUGUCCCCAAAUUAUGGCAGAGAAAUGCCCCAAAAUUGGGAGAGAAACCACCCAGAAAUGGCAGAGAAAUAACCCAAAACACCGCCCCAAAAAUGGGAGAGAAACGGCCCGAAAUGUCCCCAAAAUAUGGCAGAGAAAUGCCCCAAAAAUGGCACCAAACUACCCCAAAACUUCCCCCCAAAAAUGGCAGAAAAACACCCCAAAACCACCCCAAAAAUGGGAGAGAAACCACCCCAAAACCACCCCAAAAUUGGGAGAGAAACCACCCAGAAAUGGCAGAGAAAUAACCUAAAAUAUCCCUCCCAAAUAUCACAGAGAAACACCCCAAAAUACACCAAAAAUGGGAGAGAAACGGCCCGAAAUGUCCCCAAAAUAUGGCAGAGAAAUACCCCAAAAAUCCGAGAGAAACCACCCCAAAACCGGAGAGAAAUAACCCAAAACACCGCCCCGAAAAUGGGAGAGAAACAGCCCGAAAUGUCCCCAAAAUACGGCAGAGAAAUACCCCAAAACUGGGAGAGAAAUACCCCAAAAUUGGGAGAGAAACCACCCCAAAACCACCCCAAAAUUGGGAGAGAAACCACCCAGAAAUGGCAGAGAAAUAACCCAAAACACCGCCCCGAAAAUGGCAGAGAAAUACCCCAAAACCACCCCCAAAACCGGGGAGAAAUAACCCAAAACACCACCCCAAAAAUGGGAGAGAAACGGCCCGAAAUGUCCCCAAAAUACGGCAGAGAAGUACCCCAAAACUGGGAGAGAAAUGCCCCAAAAUUGGGAGAGAAACCACCCCAAAACCACCCCAAAAUUGGGAGAGAAACCACCCCCAAAACCGGGGGGAAAUAACCCAAAACACCGCCCUUAAAAUAGGAGAGAAACAGCCCAAAAUAUGCCCAAAAUACGGCAGAGAAAUGCCCCAAAAUAUGGCAGAGAAAUGCCCCAAAAUUGGGAGAGAAAUGCCCCAAAAUUGGGAGAGAAACCACCCCAAAACCACCCCAAAAUUGGGAGAGAAACCACCCAGAAAUGGCAGAGAAAUAACCCAAAAAUGCCAGAGAAAUAACCUAAAAUAUCCCCCACAUAUAUCACAGAGAAACACCCCAAAAUACACCAAAAAUGGGAGAGAAACGGCCCGAAAUGUCCCCAAAAUAUGGCAGAGAAAUGCCCCAAAAUUGGGAGAGAUACCACCCAGAAAUGGCAGAGAAAUAACCCAAAACACCGCCCCAAAAAUGGGAGAGAAACGGCCCGAAAUGUCCCCAAAAAUGGCAGCGAAAUACCCCAAAAAUGGCAUCAAACUGCCCCAAAACUUCCCCCCAAAAAU